CAGACGGUUGGAACAAGUUUUGGCUAGAUGGUAUAUCGUUUUUGUCCGAUUUGACUUUUUGUACUAAAUUGAGAAUUUACACCGGCAGAUUAAGAUAAUUCAUGUAGCUGGUUCGGAUAAUUGGUUAAAGUCAGGAUUAGCUAAAAUGCAAACAAAUCUACUUUUAACGUUAAGCAGUAUCCUUCUAGCCAUGACCGUUAGACCACGUUCACCUUGGCAUGCUGGCAUGGGGACACAUUUGCACACAAAAGAGGAAAUUAAGGGCUGCUCUUCUGCGAUAGCAACGGAGCAAGAUUGCAGCGGGCCUCCAAAGAAUCCGGACAACAGAAGUCUUGUGUUUUGAACUUCGGAGUAGAGCACCCGUCAAAGGAGUCAUCUCAGGGGUGACGACGGAUGGUCAGGUUGAAUACCUGAAGAGAAUUCCUGGUGUGGUUGGUUCCCGGCGUCUGACCCGCUGGGUGAAUGGAGAAAAAGAGGAAGGUCUGUUGUUUUUUUGAAAAGGUGCAAAUACCUAUGUAUGUGAAGCUUGGUUAUGUAGCAUGAACAGAGAAUACUGAAGAACGGUGUGUAGAAGGACAACGGUGUGUAGAAGGACGACGGUGUGUAGAAGGACGACGGUGUGUAGAAGGACGACGGUGUGUAGAAGGACAACGGUGUGUAGAAGGACAACGGUGUGUAGAAGGACAACGGUGUGUAGAAGGACAACGGUGUGUAGAAGGACAACGGUGUGUAGAAGGACGACGGUGUGUAGAAGGACGACGGUGUGUAGAAGGACGACGGUGUGUAGAAGGACGACGACGUUGUAAUUGUGGUGGGAAUCAUGAUCCUGAGUUACUGGAGUGCCCUGUAAGGGUGAAGGUAGAACCAUCUCACCUACUUUUACACUAUGAUUUGACUAUUAGAUGUUCGAUGUUUCUUUCAAAAAGAAAUUGGAAGGACUAGUUUCAGCAUAUUAAAACAAGAGUUCAGUUCACAUAACAGGGUUGACCUUAAAAUGAGGGACAGACGUAAAUUAAUCACUAAUCACAUGAAAUAAAUAAUAUUCUUCACAAAUAACUUUGUCAAAGCAACAAAAUAACUAGGGUUUCACAAUUAUGGUGGAAAUGUUGGGGUUAAAUGGGUUAAAAUCCUCCUAGAAGUUACAGAGGGUGUACAGAGGGACAUGUCAAAAUGCAGAAUUUUCAUAAAAUGGGUUUCCAUGGCACAGCACAAGCCUAAGAUCACCAUGCGCAAUGCCAAGAGUCGACUGGAGUAGUGUAAAGGUCGCCACCAUUGGACUCUAGAGCACUGGAAACGCUUUCUCUGGCAGUCCGAUGGACUAAUCUGGGUUUGGCGGAUGCCAGGAGAAUGCUACCUGUCCAAAUGUAUAGUGCCAACUGUAAUGUUUGGUGGAGGUGGGAUAAUGGUCUGGGGCUUGUUUUUAUGGUUCGGGCUAGGCCCCUUAGUUCCAGUGAAGGUAAAUCUUAACACUAAAGCAUACAAUGAUAUUAUAGAAGAUUCUGUGCUUCCAACAUUGUGGCAACAGUUUGGGGAAGGCCCUUUCCUGUUUCAGCAUGACAAUGCCCUAGUGCAUAAAGUGAGGUUCAUACAGAAAUGGUUUGUCAAAAACAGUGUGGAACGCUUUGCCUUGAUGACAUCUUUGCACACUCUUGGCAUUCUCUCAACCAGCUUCAUGAGGUAGUCACCUGGAAUGCAUUUCAAUGAACAGGUGUUCCUUGUUAAAAGGUUCAUUUGUGGAAUGUAUUUCCUUCUUAAUGCAUUUGAGCCAAUCAGUUGUGUUGUAAUAAAGUAGGAGGCGAUAUACAGAAGAUAGCCCUAUUUAGAAAAAUACCAAGUCCAUACUAUGGAAAAAACAGCUCAAAUAAGCAAAAAGAAAUGACAGUCCAUCAUUACAUUAAGACAUGAAGGUCAGUCAAUACGAAAGUCGCAAAAACCAUCAAGCGUUAUGAUGAAACUGGCUCUCAUGAGGACCGUCACAGGAAAGGAAGACCCUGAAUUAUCUCUGCUGCAGCCUCAGAAAUUUCAGCCCAAAUAAAUGCUUCACAGAGUUCAAGUAACAGACACAUCUCAACAUCAACUGUUCAGAGAAGACUGUGUGAAUCAAGCCUUCAUGGUCAAAUUGUUGCAAAGAAACCACUAGUAAAGGACACCAAUAAUAAGAAGAGAAUUGUUUGGUUCAUGAAACACAAGCAAUGGACAUUAGACGGGUGGAAAUCUGUCCUUUGGUUUGAUGAGUCCAAAUUUUAGAUUUUUGGUUCCAUGAUCUCCGCAUGUGUGGUUCCCACCAUGAAGCAUGGAGGUGGUGUGGAUUGUGCUUUGCUGGUGACACUGUCAGUGAUUUAUUUAGAAUUGAAGGCACACUUAACCAGCAUGGCUACCACAGCAUUCUGCAGCAAUACGCCAUCCCAUCUGGUUUAUGCUUAGUGGGACUAACAUUUGUUUUUCAACAGGACAAUGACCCAACACACCUCCAGGCUGUGUAAGGGCUAUUUGACCAAGAAGGAGAGUGAUGGAGUGCUGUAUCAGAUGACCUUGCCUCCACAAUCACUCGACCUCAACCCAAUUGAGAUAGUUUGGUAUAAGUUGGACCGCAGAGUGAAGGAAAGCAGCCAACAAAUGCUCAGCAUAUGUGGGAACUCCUUCAAGACUGUUGUAAAAGCAUUCCUCAUCAAGCAGGUUGAGAGAAUGCCAAGAGUGUGCAAAGCUGUCAUCAAGGCAAACGGUGGCUACUUUGAAGAAUAUAUUUAUUUUGAUUUGUUUAACACUGUUUUGGUUACUACAUGAUUCCAUGUGUGUUAUUUCAUAGUUUGAUGUCUUCACUAUUAUUCUACAAUGUAGAAAAUAGUAAAAAAUAAAGAAAAACCCUUGAAUGAGUA
Salvelinus fontinalis (brook trout) is the source of this 2876-nucleotide long non-coding RNA. RefSeq lists it as uncharacterized. NCBI's taxonomy places the organism in Eukaryota, Metazoa, Chordata, Actinopteri, Salmoniformes, Salmonidae. The transcript has 2 exons. The record is from RefSeq and is a predicted model, not a curated record.